CAGCUCCAAUUUCUUCAGAUAAUCCCCGUGCCUUCUGUUGAUGAUUUGGCUGAUCAGGUGACUUCUUUGGGUUAGAUUCUGUAAUGUGUAUGGGAGUCACGGCAGGUUCAUACAUUCUUACCCUUUUUGCUUAUUGAUCUCAGACAAGAUACAGUAAUCGUGUGCUUGGUUUGAUACCGGUAUCUCCUCUCUGUGGAGCAGCUUCUUGGACAGAAUGGCUAUAUGAUAAUGUUUUCCUU
This is a long non-coding RNA of Phalaenopsis equestris, 239 nucleotides long. RefSeq lists it as uncharacterized. The transcript is spliced from 3 exons. NCBI's taxonomy places the organism in Eukaryota, Viridiplantae, Streptophyta, Magnoliopsida, Asparagales, Orchidaceae. The record is from RefSeq and is a predicted model, not a curated record.